RNAcentral lists this ribosomal RNA (253 nucleotides) under uncultured bacterium. RNAcentral describes it as "partial 16S ribosomal RNA". It matches the Rfam family "Bacterial small subunit ribosomal RNA", at positions 524 to 776 of the family's 1533-position model. The record is from RNAcentral.
UACGAAGGGGGCUAGCGUUGCUCGGAAUCACUGGGCGUAAAGGGCGCGUAGGCGGCCAAUCAAGUCAGGGGUGAAAUCCCGAGGCUUAACCUCGGAACUGCCUUUGAUACUGUUUGGCUCGAGACCGGAAGAGGUAAGUGGAACUGCGAGUGUAGAGGUGAAAUUCGUAGAUAUUCGCAAGAACACCAGUGGCGAAGGCGGCUUACUGGUCCGGUACUGACGCUGAGGUGCGAAAGCGUGGGGAGCAAACAGG